CCCUGGGCUAAGGGGGGCCCCAGCACAGCAGGGCUCAGGCAGGCUGCCUGCAUGCGUGGCCCCAUGUUGCUCCAGGAAGCGGCCAGCUGCUGGCACUGGCCAAUGGGCGCUGCUAGAAGUGGCGCUGUCUG
Chelonoidis abingdonii (Abingdon island giant tortoise) is the source of this 131-nucleotide non-coding RNA. Lineage: Eukaryota; Metazoa; Chordata; Testudines; Testudinidae. The record is from RefSeq and is a predicted model, not a curated record.